Molecule: long non-coding RNA, 228 nt
Filed under: Elaeis guineensis (African oil palm)
Lineage: Eukaryota; Viridiplantae; Streptophyta; Magnoliopsida; Arecales; Arecaceae
Description: long non-coding RNA (EGUI_LNC048740)
Source: RNAcentral
GGGAUGAAGAGAAGAAGCCCAGCAGUUAUCUAACACCAAGAAAGGAAGAGAGAGGAGGAUGGAAAAAGCUACUUUUCACCCUUGAGCUAGAGAAAAAAGGGGAGAAGGAGGGUCCAGCUAGUCAUACCGGAGGAAAUAGCUCCAAUAAGAGAAAAAAAUCUGACGACUGACCUACUAUUGAGUAAGGCUGGCGAUAAUAGUCCAGCAAUAAAGAGACUGGAGAGGGGG